AACCCAUGGUGAGGACACCUUCUCAAAAGGUCUUUGUAUCUCUCCCAUGCAUCGUAGAGAGUUUUUAAAUCCAUCUGCAUAAAAGAAGAGAUAUCAUUACGUAAUUU
This 107-nucleotide small nucleolar RNA is filed under the name Gossypium barbadense (sea-island cotton). Its description in RNAcentral is "Plant small nucleolar RNA R71". It matches the Rfam family "Plant small nucleolar RNA R71". Rfam says of the family: R71 is a member of the C/D box family of snoRNAs containing the C (UGAUGA) and D (CUGA) box motifs. Multiple nearly identical copies of this snoRNA have been identified in Arabidopsis, and it is thought to function as a 2'-O-ribose methylation guide for 18S ribosomal RNA. The record is from Rfam by way of RNAcentral. Lineage: Eukaryota; Viridiplantae; Streptophyta; Magnoliopsida; Malvales; Malvaceae. RNAcentral also lists the same sequence under 1 other name.